Cynocephalus volans (Philippine flying lemur) is the source of this 102-nucleotide small nuclear RNA. Lineage: Eukaryota; Metazoa; Chordata; Mammalia; Dermoptera; Cynocephalidae. The record is from RefSeq and is a predicted model, not a curated record.
AUGCUUGCUUCGGCAGCACGUAUACUAAAUUUGGAACGAUACAGAGAACAUUAGCAUGGCCCCUGCACAAAGCUCACUUUCUGCUAUGUUUCUCCAACUCUG